RNAcentral lists this ribosomal RNA (107 nucleotides) under Prolemur simus (greater bamboo lemur). Lineage: Eukaryota; Metazoa; Chordata; Mammalia; Primates; Lemuridae. The record is from RNAcentral.
GCCUACAGCCACACCACCCUGAAAACACCUGAUCUCGUCUGAUCUCAGACGCUAAGCAGGGUCAGGCCUGGUUAGUAUUUGGAUAGGAGAAAACAGGACAGUAGACA